RNAcentral lists this ribosomal RNA (253 nucleotides) under uncultured bacterium. Its description in RNAcentral is "partial 16S ribosomal RNA". It matches the Rfam family "Bacterial small subunit ribosomal RNA", at positions 524 to 776 of the family's 1533-position model. The record is from RNAcentral.
UACGUAGGGUGCGAGCGUUAAUCGGAAUUACUGGGCGUAAAGCGUGCGCAGGCGGCUUCUCAAGUCAGGUGUGAAAGCCCCGGGCUUAACCUGGGAAUUGCGCUUGAAACUGGGGGGCUGGAGUGUGGCAGAGGGAGGUGGAAUUCCUGGUGUAGCGGUGAAAUGCGUAGAUAUCAGGAGGAACACCGAUGGCGAAGGCAGCCUCCUGGGCCAACUCUGACGCUCAGGGACGAAAUCGUGGGGAGCAAACAGG